Molecule: long non-coding RNA, 1260 nt
Filed under: Lynx canadensis (Canada lynx)
Lineage: Eukaryota; Metazoa; Chordata; Mammalia; Carnivora; Felidae
Description: lncRNA (ENSLCNG00005013519.1)
Source: RNAcentral
CCAGGCCGGACCGAAAUUAUCUGGGCGGUGCCCGGGAAGUCAGGGGGCUGGCCGAGGUCCCUCCUCCUGCGGGGCCGCGCUGGGCCUGUCGGAAGCGAGUCCCUCUCUGUACAGAAACUGGGAGGGAGCUGGUGCAGCCAGGGCCCCUCCUGCUGCAGAGCGCGGCUGGGUGUGAUCUAGUUUGAGGUUCUCCUGCUCCGGGGCGCGGCCGGGAGCCGGUUUGGUUGAAGCUCUCCCGCCGCAAAGGAGACCAGCUGUUGUUGAGGGUUUCUGGCCGGCCUGUGGGAAUCUGGGGCCUGCCCACCCAGACCCAGCCUCGCGUCUCUUUUCUUCCCUCAGGUUGUUAACGCCACCUACCCCGGGGGCUCUCUGUGCAGGAGGUGGUAGCCUAGGCCUCCCGGCAGCAGAACCAGGCAAGUGAGGCUUCCUUUACCCAGAGGCCACCCCAGCCUCAGAACUUGGACGCGUUUUCUUCCACUGGCAGGGAAAGAGGAAGCUGUGAAAGGAAGAAGAAGAAAACAACCUCUGCCCCAGCCCUGGAGACAGAGGAGACAAGGAGAGACCCUGCCACACCAGCCCCCUCCCAGGUCCAGCAGGAGGCAUAGAAGAGGAAUUUAUGUAUAAUCAAUUCUCAGAGGACUCGGGUGCUCUAUUUGCCUGAAGAAUAUGAGGUCUCUGUGAGAGAGAUUGGGACCCACCACGAAGGUGAUGACCAGAAGAGAGUGUCUGCAGAAUUAAGCUCAGAAAAGGAGUUCUCAGACCUCGCUGCAUUGGAAUCAGCAGAGUGCUCGAAAGAGACUCUUGGAAGUGGGAGAACAGUGGAAAGCUGCCUCUGGUGCCUUUGUGGCUCCAGCAGUUGCAGGUGCUGAGGUCCUGGCCCAUCUGCAACCACCGUGCUCCUGCUGACUGUGGCUAGGGGCUGCCCCCAGCAUACUCUCCGCGGAUCUCAGGACCUAUGAGAAACCCAGCACCUGGAAAAGCUUGAAGAGGAGAUGACACUGGUAGAGGAGACUAUCUGGACAUUUGAAGGCAGAGGUGAGAACUGCCACAAAUGUGAAGCAUGGGGAGAGCACGAUUUCCCCAAUAUGUGAGUGCUUUUUGAUUCUCCGGGGAAAUGGUUUUACAGAGAAAGUAGAACAAGAAAAAUGCUAGCAUUCGGUCCUGGGAGAAGAGUGAGCAUCUGCCUCCCGGAAGCAAUGAAUGAGAGUCCCGAGUCUCCGUGGGCCUCCAGCCCAGACGGUAGCUGUUCUGAGUUUCAAG